GGCCUGGCUGAGCGGUCUGCCAAUGUGUAUGUACUGCGUUGGUCGGGUCUUUCCUUCUGGAGAGCUGGCAUGCCCUUUACUGGGUGUGUCAAGGAUCCAGGACUUUUACUUUGAAAAAAUUGGAGUGUUUAAAGCAGGCUUUCAAGCUUGAACAUAUUAGCAUGGAAUAAUGAAAUAGGA
Molecule: ribosomal RNA, 180 nt
Filed under: uncultured Glomeromycotina
Lineage: Eukaryota; Fungi; Glomeromycota
Description: partial small subunit ribosomal RNA
Source: RNAcentral